Molecule: ribosomal RNA, 417 nt
Filed under: uncultured bacterium
Lineage: Bacteria
Description: bacterial SSU rRNA
Rfam family: Bacterial small subunit ribosomal RNA
Source: RNAcentral
UGGGGAAUAUUGGGCAAUGGGCGCAAGCCUGACCCAGCAACGCCGCGUGAAGGAAGAAGGCUUUCGGGUUGUAAACUUCUUUUAAGAGGGAAGAGCAGAAGACGGUACCUCUUGAAUAAGCCACGGCUAACUACGUGCCAGCAGCCGCGGUAAUACGUAGGUGGCAAGCGUUAUCCGGAUUUACUGGGUGUAAAGGGCGUGUAGGCGGGGGCCGCAAGUCAGACGUGAAAUUCCAGGGCUCAACCCUGGAACUGCGUUUGAAACUGUGGCUCUUGAGUGAUGGAGAGGCAGGCGGAAUUCCGUGUGUAGCGGUGAAAUGCGUAGAUAUACGGAGGAACACCAGUGGCGAAGGCGGCCUGCUGGACAUUAACUGACGCUGAGGCGCGAAAGCGUGGGGAGCAAACAGGAUUAGAUACC